Molecule: ribosomal RNA, 372 nt
Filed under: uncultured organism
Description: bacterial SSU rRNA
Rfam family: Bacterial small subunit ribosomal RNA
Source: RNAcentral
CAGAGGGUGCAAGCGUUGUUCGGAAUUAUUGGGCGUAAAGCGCGUGUAGGCGGCUUUGCAAGUCGGGUGUGAAAUCCCUCAGCUCAACUGAGGAAGUGCGCCCGAAACUGCAGAGCUCGAGUGCCGGAGAGGGUGGCGGAAUUCCCCAAGUAGAGGUGAAAUUCGUAGAUAUGGGGAGGAACACCGGUGGCGAAGGCGGCCACCUGGCCGGUAACUGACGCUGAGACGCGAAAGCGUGGGUAGCAAACAGGAUUAGAUACCCUGGUAGUCCACGCCGUAAACGAUGAGAACUAGGUGUCGUGGGAGUUGACCCCCGCGGUGCCGUAGCUAACGCAUUAAGUUCUCCGCCUGGGAAGUACGGCCGCAAGGCUA